CUUGCGAUUCUAUUUCGUUGGUUUCUAGGACGCGAGUAAUGAUUAAUAGGGAUAGUUGGGGGCAUUCAUAUUUAAUUGUCAGAGGUGAAAUUCUUAGAUUUAUGAAAGAUGAACUACUGCGAAAGCAUUUGCCAAGGAUGUUUUCAUUAAUCAAGAACGAAAGUUAGGGGAUCGAAGACGAUCAGAUACCGUCGUAGUCUUAACCAUAAACUAUGCCGACUAGGGAUUGGCGGAUGUUUCCUUUACGACUCCUUCAGCACCUUUAGCGAAAGCAAAGUUUUUGGGUUCCGGGGGGAGUAUGGUCGCAAGGCUGAAACUUAAAGGAAUUGACGGAAGGGCACCACCAGGAGUGGAGCCUGCGGCUUAAUUUGACUCAACACGGGGAAACUC
RNAcentral lists this ribosomal RNA (390 nucleotides) under Eukaryota sp. Its description in RNAcentral is "SSU rRNA". It matches the Rfam family "Eukaryotic small subunit ribosomal RNA", at positions 827 to 1216 of the family's 1831-position model. The record is from RNAcentral.